RNAcentral lists this ribosomal RNA (501 nucleotides) under uncultured Oscillibacter sp. RNAcentral's name for it is "bacterial SSU rRNA". It matches the Rfam family "Bacterial small subunit ribosomal RNA", at positions 8 to 507 of the family's 1533-position model. Lineage: Bacteria; Bacillati; Bacillota; Clostridia; Eubacteriales; Oscillospiraceae. The record is from RNAcentral.
AGAGUUUGAUCCUGGCUCAGGACGAACGCUGGCGGCGUGCUUAACACAUGCAAGUCGAACGGAGUACCUUGGAAAGAGAUUUCGGUCAAUGGAAGAGGAUACUUAGUGGCGGACGGGUGAGUAACGCGUGAGGAACCUACCUCUCAGAGGGGGACAACAGUUGGAAACGACUGCUAAUACCGCAUAAUAUAUCUGUAUCGCAUGGUAUGGAUAUCAAAGAUUUAUCGCUGAGAGAUGGCCUCGCGUCUGAUUAGCUGGUUGGUAGGGUAACGGCCUACCAAGGCGACGAUCAGUAGCCGGACUGAGAGGUUGGCCGGCCACAUUGGGACUGAGAUACGGCCCAGACUCCUACGGGAGGCAGCAGUGGGGAAUAUUGGGCAAUGGGCGCAAGCCUGACCCAGCAACGCCGCGUGAAGGAAGAAGGCUUUCGGGUUGUAAACUUCUUUUAAGAGGGAAGAGCAGAAGACGGUACCUCUUGAAUAAGCCACGGCUAACUACGUG